This 63-nucleotide non-coding RNA is filed under the name Flavobacterium sp. RNAcentral describes it as "Fluoride sequence". It matches the Rfam family "Fluoride riboswitch aptamer (crcB RNA motif)". The record is from RNAcentral. Lineage: Bacteria; Pseudomonadati; Bacteroidota; Flavobacteriia; Flavobacteriales; Flavobacteriaceae.
UACAAAUACGGCAAUGAUGUCUGCCUUGAACCGCCUUAAAAAGCUGAUGACGUCUAUUGAAUG